UACGUAGGGUGCAAGCGUUGUCCGGAAUUAUUGGGCGUAAAGAGCUCGUAGGCGGCCUGUUGCGUCCGCUGUGAAAGCCCGGGGCUUAACCUCGGGACUGCAGUGGAUACGGGCAGGCUAGAGGUAGGUAGGGGAGAAUGGAAUUCCCGGUGUAGCGGUGAAAUGCGCAGAUAUCGGGAGGAACACCGGUGGCGAAGGCGGUUCUCUGGGCCUUACCUGACGCUGAGGAGCGAAAGCGUGGGGAGCGAACAGG
This 253-nucleotide ribosomal RNA is filed under the name uncultured bacterium. RNAcentral's name for it is "partial 16S ribosomal RNA". It matches the Rfam family "Bacterial small subunit ribosomal RNA", at positions 524 to 776 of the family's 1533-position model. The record is from RNAcentral.